This 489-nucleotide ribosomal RNA is filed under the name uncultured bacterium. RNAcentral describes it as "partial 16S ribosomal RNA". It matches the Rfam family "Bacterial small subunit ribosomal RNA", at positions 30 to 506 of the family's 1533-position model. The record is from RNAcentral.
AUUGAACGCUGGCGGCAGGCCUAACACAUGCAAGUCGAACGGUAACAGGAAGAAGCUUGCUUCUUUGCUGCCGAGUGGCGGACGGGUGAGUAAUGUCUGGGAAACUGCCUGAUGGAGGGGGAUAACUACUGGAAACGGUAGCUAAUACCGCAUAACGUCGCAAGACCAAAGAGGGGGACCUUCGGGCCUCUUGCCAUCGGAUGUGCCCAGAUGGGAUUAGCUAGUAGGUGGGGUAACGGCUCACCUAGGCGACGAUCCCUAGCUGGUCUGAGAGGAUGACCAGCCACACUGGAACUGAGACACGGUCCAGACUCCUACGGGAGGCAGCAGUGGGGAAUAUUGCACAAGGGGCGCAAGCCUGAUGCAGCCAUGCCGCGUGUAUGAAGAAGGCCUUCGGGUUGUAAAGUACUUCCAGCGGGGAGGAAGGGAGUAAAGUUAAUACCGUUGCUCAUUGACGUUACCCGCAGAAGAAGCACCGGCUAACUCCGU